Molecule: ribosomal RNA, 484 nt
Filed under: uncultured bacterium
Lineage: Bacteria
Description: partial 16S ribosomal RNA
Rfam family: Bacterial small subunit ribosomal RNA
Source: RNAcentral
AUUGAACGCUGGCGGCAGGCCUAACACAUGCAAGUCGAGCGGAUGAAGGGAGCUUGCUCCUGGAUUCAGCGGCGGACGGGUGAGUAAUGCCUAGGAAUCUGCCUGGUAGUGGGGGAUAACGUCCGGAAACGGGCGCUAAUACCGCAUACGUCCUGAGGGAGAAAGUGGGGGAUCUUCGGACCUCACGCUAUCAGAUGAGCCUACGUCUGAUUAUCUAGUUGGUGGGGUAAAGGCCUACCAAGGCGACGAUCCGUAACUGGUCUGAGAGUAUGAGCAGUCAACCGCGCACUGUGGCACUGUCCAAACUCCUCCGGGAGCUACCCAUUGGCAAUAUCAGACUAUUCGCGAACGCCUGAUGCAGCCAUGCCGCCUGCGUCAUGCAGGUCUCCGUAUUCUAAAGCACCUCCAUUCAUGCGAAAGGACAGUAAGUUAACCCCGUGCUGGUUUGACUUUACCAACUGCAUAUGCACGCGCUAACUUCGUG